Molecule: ribosomal RNA, 253 nt
Filed under: uncultured bacterium
Lineage: Bacteria
Description: partial 16S ribosomal RNA
Rfam family: Bacterial small subunit ribosomal RNA
Source: RNAcentral
UACGAAGGGUGCUAGCGUUGCUCGGAAUUACUGGGCGUAAAGCGCGCGCAGGUGGUCUGUUAAGUUGGGGGGGAAAGCCCGGAGCUCAACUCCGGAAUCGCCUUCAAAACUGGCAGGCUAGAGUUCGGAAGAGGAGAGUGGAAUUCCCAGUGUAGAGGUGAAAUUCGUAGAUAUUGGGAAGAACACCAGUGGCGAAGGCGGCUCUCUGGUCCGACACUGACACUGAGGCGCGAAAGCGUGGGGAGCAAACAGG